RNAcentral lists this ribosomal RNA (142 nucleotides) under uncultured bacterium. Its description in RNAcentral is "partial 16S rRNA". It matches the Rfam family "Bacterial small subunit ribosomal RNA", at positions 353 to 511 of the family's 1533-position model. The record is from RNAcentral.
GUGGGGUAAUUUUCCGCAAUGGGCGAAGCCUGACGGAGCAAUGCCGCGUGGAGGUGGAAGGCCUACGGGUCGUCAACUUCUUUUCUCGGAGAAGAAACAAUGACGGUAUCUGAGGAAUAAGCAUCGGCUAACUCUGUGCCAG